CACAGCUCUGAGCACACCUGAAGAAGUCUCUUGAGACUACAUUGAAGAAAAGCUGUUCUCUAUUUGACUCAUCCACAGGACUGCAAAGUAUCUAUGACGUCAAGUGGAAAGAAAAAUCUCCCUUCUCCGCUACAAAACUUUGUGGAAUCGAAUUUUCUCCAAGGAUAAAGAAAAUGUACUCAAAAGAAUUGUGUGGAUAUCCUGUGAAAAGUUCCCUCUCACGCUUAAGGAGAUGCGAAGUAAUGUAAUAUCAGUUGAAACAACACCAGUAUUAUUAUUAGGACAACAGAAUAUCACCAAGUAACAAGGUCCAUGUAUGUACGAUAAAAAAUCAGUACGUGUAAGUUUUGUUGAUUUAAGUAAUGCCACAAAUAUUAAAAACUCGAAAGUUCUAUUAAUAUUUUUAUUGCGAUUGUUUAAGCUAAAGGACAUUAAAACGUACUUCCUACAAAAUAAAUAUAAUAUUAAUGUUCCCCACCUUUGAUUAUAUUUAAUGUGAGCAGUAGCAAAAUGUAAUUGAUGAACCGUUCUUAAAUAUGAAAACAUAACCUAACAAUGAAAGAUUGCCCAAGCAUUAACCUUAAGGGGCUUUAUUCUUCGUGUUUACAGGCUUGAAGCAUGCAGCCUCAUAUCAGAUUACAGGAAAGAUUUAUUAAAUAAAACAAGUGUGUUACCUUAAGUGGAUCUCUUGGUGUGAUGCUUUUAACACAACGAAGUCAUACAUUAAAUGUAGCAUUCCCUUACUGUAGAUCAUUUUUAUGUCUCUUGCAACGAUUACAAACGUAACUAUGAUUUGGCAAUAUUGUGUUCUUCUCAAAUAAACUAUGCUUUCUACAUACA
Spea bombifrons (plains spadefoot toad) is the source of this 840-nucleotide long non-coding RNA. RefSeq lists it as uncharacterized. The record is from RefSeq and is a predicted model, not a curated record. NCBI's taxonomy places the organism in Eukaryota, Metazoa, Chordata, Amphibia, Anura, Pelobatidae. The transcript has 2 exons.